AUGUUGAUGUAAGACUACUUUGCGGAGAAUCCAACAUAUCCGCCACACCUCUUCCGGAGAAGGUACCGAAUGCGACGAUCCCUGUUUGUGAAAAUUGUUCAAGUUUGCGAGGCCAAUUGUCGGUAUUUUACUCAAAGAAGAAAUGCCAUGGGCUUGAAGGGAUUUAGUGCAUAUCAAAAAAUCUCGGCAGCUAUGCGGGUAAUUGCAUACGGCAUUCCGGCUGACUAUGCUGAUGAGUACGUUCGCAUUGGUGAAGAUACUACAAUUGAGUCUGUGCGUAGGUUUGCCAAAGUGAUCAUCCGUAUAUUUGAUCCUGAAUAUCUUCCGGCACCAAACAAGGAAGACAGAAAAAAAUGGAUGGUAUCUAAUGAUAGAAGAGGUUGGCCUGCAUGCUAG
Molecule: ribosomal RNA, 396 nt
Filed under: Triticum aestivum (bread wheat)
Lineage: Eukaryota; Viridiplantae; Streptophyta; Magnoliopsida; Poales; Poaceae
Description: partial small subunit ribosomal RNA
Source: RNAcentral